UUAGUAGCGCAGUGGCAGUAUCGUAGCCAAUGAGGUUAAUCCGAGGCGUGAUUAUUGCUAGUUGAAAACUUUCCCUGGGCUUUGAGGCAAGCUAAACUCACGCCAUGUACCUCACAGAUAGGAACUGGGGUUCUGUCUGUUUCCCUGCUGCCUCUUCCUCUUCCUUGAACAGA
RNAcentral lists this small nuclear RNA (173 nucleotides) under Crocodylus porosus (Australian saltwater crocodile). RNAcentral's name for it is "U4 spliceosomal RNA (ENSCPRG00005006209.1)". The stretch from base 1 to 78 matches the Rfam family "U4 spliceosomal RNA". The record is from RNAcentral. Lineage: Eukaryota; Metazoa; Chordata; Crocodylia; Crocodylidae.